This 549-nucleotide ribosomal RNA is filed under the name uncultured bacterium. RNAcentral's name for it is "bacterial SSU rRNA". It matches the Rfam family "Bacterial small subunit ribosomal RNA", at positions 355 to 896 of the family's 1533-position model. The record is from RNAcentral.
UAGGGAAUCUUCGGCAAUGGACGGAAGUCUGACCGAGCAACGCCGCGUGAGUGAAGAAGGUUUUCGGAUCGUAAAGCUCUGUUGUAAGAGAAGAACGAGUGUGAGAGUGGAAAGUUCACACUGUGACGGUAACUUACCAGAAAGGGACGGCUAACUACGUGCCAGCAGCCGCGGUAAUACGUAGGUCCCGAGCGUUAUCCGGAUUUAUUGGGCGUAAAGCGAGCGCAGGCGGUUAGAUAAGUCUGAAGUUAAAGGCUGUGGCUUAACCAUAGUACGCUUUGGAAACUGUUUAACUUGAGUGCAGAAGGGGAGAGUGGAAUUCCAUGUGUAGCGGUGAAAUGCGUAGAUAUAUGGAGGAACACCGGUGGCGAAAGCGGCUCUCUGGCUUGUAACUGACGCUGAGGCUCGAAAGCGUGGGGAGCAAACAGGAUUAGAUACCCUGGUAGUCCACGCCGUAACGAUGAGUGCUAGGUGUUAGACCCUUUCCGGGGUUUAGUGCCGUAGCUAACGCAUUAAGCACUCCGCCUGGGGAGUACGACCGCAAGGUUG